AGCGUUCGCCUUCAGCCACCAUGGGGAAUGGGAUGAACAAGAUCCUGCCCGGCCUGUACAUCGGCAACUUCAAAGAUGCCAGAGACGCGGAACAAUUGAGCAAGAACAAGGACAAGACAUUUCAAAGAAAGUAUUAAAUUCAUUCAUGAGUGCCGGCUCCGCGGUGAGAGCUGCCUUGUACACUGCCUGGCCGGGGUCUCCAGGAGCGUGACACUGGUGAUCGCAUACAUCAUGACCGUCACUGACUUUGGCUGGGAGGAUGCCCUGCACACCGUGCGUGCUGGGAGAUCCUGUGCCAACCCCAACGUGGGCUUCCAGAGACAGCUCCAGGAGUUUGAGAAGCAUGAGGUCC
Molecule: small RNA, 352 nt
Filed under: Pan troglodytes (chimpanzee)
Lineage: Eukaryota; Metazoa; Chordata; Mammalia; Primates; Hominidae
Description: processed transcript
Source: RNAcentral